This 85-nucleotide transfer RNA is filed under the name Thermodesulfobacterium sp. TA1. RNAcentral's name for it is "tRNA-Leu". It matches the Rfam family "tRNA". Rfam says of the family: Transfer RNA (tRNA) molecules are approximately 80 nucleotides in length. Lineage: Bacteria; Pseudomonadati; Thermodesulfobacteriota; Thermodesulfobacteria; Thermodesulfobacteriales; Thermodesulfobacteriaceae. The record is from RNAcentral.
GCCGGGGUGGCGGAAUAGGCAGACGCGCUGGAUUCAGGAUCCAGUGGGAGCUAAUCCCGUGCGGGUUCAAAUCCCGCCCCCGGCA